CUACGGGGUGCACCAGUAGGGAAUAUUGCACAAUGGGCGAAAGCCUGAUGCAGCAACGCCGCGUGCGCGAUGAAGGCCUUCGGGUUGUAAAGCGCUUUUCUGAGGGAAGAGGAAGGACUGUACCUCAGGAAUAAGUCUCGGCUAACUACGUGCCAGCAGCCGCGGUAACACGUAGGAGGCAAGCGUUAUCCGGAUUUACUGGGCGUAAAGCGCGUGUAGGCGGUUUGGCAAGUCGGAUGUGAAAGCUCCUGGCUCAACUGGGAGAGGUCGUUCGAAACUGCCAGACUAGAGGACGGUAGAGGAAGAUGGAAUUCCCGGUGUAGUAGUGAAAUGCGUAGAUAUCGGGAGGAACACCAGUGGCGAAGGCGGUCUUCUGGGCCGUUCCUGACGCUGAGACGCGAAAGCAUGGGUAGCGAACGGGAUUAGAUACCCGCGUAGUC
RNAcentral lists this ribosomal RNA (440 nucleotides) under uncultured bacterium. RNAcentral describes it as "partial 16S ribosomal RNA". It matches the Rfam family "Bacterial small subunit ribosomal RNA", at positions 339 to 795 of the family's 1533-position model. The record is from RNAcentral.